This 494-nucleotide ribosomal RNA is filed under the name uncultured bacterium. RNAcentral's name for it is "partial 16S ribosomal RNA". It matches the Rfam family "Bacterial small subunit ribosomal RNA", at positions 28 to 507 of the family's 1533-position model. The record is from RNAcentral.
GACGAACGCUGGCGGCGUGCUUAACACAUGCAAGUCGAACGGAAAGGCCUGCUUUCCCUUGUGGAUUGCGGGUACUCGAGUGGCGAACGGGUGAGUAACACGUGAGUGAUCUGCCCCCAACUUGGGUAUAAGCCUGGGAAACUGGGUCUAAUUCCCGAUAGGACUGCAGGGUGGUGCCUGUGGUGGAAAACGAUUUUCUAGUGGUUGGGGAUGAGCUCGCGGCCUAUCAGCUUAUUGGUGGGGUAAUGGCCUACCAAGGCGGCGACGGGUAGCCGGCCUGAGAGGGUGGACGGCCACAUUGGGACUGAGAUACGGCCCAGACUCCUACGGGAGGCAGCAGUGGGGAAUAUUGCACAAUGGGCGGAAGCCUGAUGCAGCGACGCCGCGUGGGGGAUGACGGCCUUCGGGUUGUAAACUCCUUUCGACCGCGAGGAAGCCACCUGGUUGGAAGGGUGGUGACGGUAGUGGUAGAAGAAGCACCGGCUAACUACGUG